AGAGUUUGAUCAUGGCUCAGAUUGAACGCUGGCGGCAGGCCUAACACAUGCAAGUCGAGCGGUAGCACAGAGAGCUUGCUCUCGGGUGACGAGCGGCGGACGGGUGAGUAAUGUCUGGGAAACUGCCUGAUGGAGGGGGAUAACUACUGGAAACGGUAGCUAAUACCGCAUAAUGUCGCAAGACCAAAGUGGGGGACCUUCGGGCCUCAUGCCAUCAGAUGUGCCCAGAUGGGAUUAGCUAGUAGGUGGGGUAACGGCUCACCUAGGCGACGAUCCCUAGCUGGUCUGAGAGGAUGACCAGCCACACUGGAACUGAGACACGGUCCAGACUCCUACGGGAGGCAGCAGUGGGGAAUAUUGCACAAUGGGCGCAAGCCUGAUGCAGCCAUGCCGCGUGUGUGAAGAAGGCCUUCGGGUUGUAAAGCACUUUCAGCGGGGAGGAAGGCGUUAAGGUUAAUAACCUUGGCGAUUGACGUUACCCGCAGAAGAAGCACCGGCUAACUCCGUGCCAGCAGCCGCGGUAAUACGGAGGGUGCAAGCGUUAAUCGGAAUUACUGGGCGUAAAGCGCACGCAGGCGGUCUGUCAAGUCGGAUGUGAAAUCCCCGGGCUCAACCUGGGAACUGCAUUCGAAACUGGCAGGCUAGAGUCUUGUAGAGGGGGGUAGAAUUCCAGGUGUAGCGGUGAAAUGCGUAGAGAUCUGGAGGAAUACCGGUGGCGAAGGCGGCCCCCUGGACAAAGACUGACGCUCAGGUGCGAAAGCGUGGGGAGCAAACAGGAUUAGAUACCCUGGUAGUCCACGCCGUAAACGAUGUCGAUUUGGAGGUUGUGCCCUUGAGGCGUGGCUUCCGGAGCUAACGCGUUAAAUCGSCCGCCUGGGGAGUACGGCCGCAAGGUUAAAACUCAAAUGAAUUGACGGGGGCCCGCACAAGCGGUGGAGCAUGUGGUUUAAUUCGAUGCAACGCGAAGAACCUUACCUGGUCUUGACAUCCACAGAACUUUCCAGAGAUGGAUUGGUGCCUUCGGGAACUGUGAGACAGGUGCUGCAUGGCUGUCGUCAGCUCGUGUUGUGAAAUGUUGGGUUAAGUCCCGCAACGAGCGCAACCCUUAUCCUUUGUUGCCAGCGGUUCGGCCGGGAACUCAAAGGAGACUGCCAGUGAUAAACUGGAGGAAGGUGGGGAUGACGUCAAGUCAUCAUGGCCCUUACGACCAGGGCUACACACGUGCUACAAUGGCAUAUACAAAGAGAAGCGACCUCGCGAGAGCAAGCGGACCUCAUAAAGUAUGUCGUAGUCCGGAUUGGAGUCUGCAACUCGACUCCAUGAAGUCGGAAUCGCUAGUAAUCGUAGAUCAGAAUGCUACGGUGAAUACGUUCC
Molecule: ribosomal RNA, 1374 nt
Filed under: Klebsiella pneumoniae
Lineage: Bacteria; Pseudomonadati; Pseudomonadota; Gammaproteobacteria; Enterobacterales; Enterobacteriaceae
Description: bacterial SSU rRNA
Source: RNAcentral